GGGUCAAUGAAGAGAAGUGAUUUGUUGAAGAUGGAUGACAACAUAAAAAUCAUGCUCAAUAGGAUUACACUGAGGCCC
Molecule: small nucleolar RNA, 78 nt
Organism: Choloepus hoffmanni (Hoffmann's two-fingered sloth)
Lineage: Eukaryota; Metazoa; Chordata; Mammalia; Pilosa; Megalonychidae
Gene: SNORD115
Rfam family: Small nucleolar RNA SNORD115
About the family: HBII-52 is a member of the C/D class of snoRNAs, which contain the C (UGAUGA) and D (CUGA) box motifs. HBII-52 is encoded in a tandemly repeated array with another C/D snoRNA, HBII-85, in the Prader-Willi syndrome (PWS) region of chromosome 15.
Source: Ensembl